Molecule: non-coding RNA, 86 nt
Organism: Aplosporella prunicola CBS 121167
Lineage: Eukaryota; Fungi; Ascomycota; Dothideomycetes; Botryosphaeriales; Aplosporellaceae
Source: the annotation of a RefSeq genome assembly
GCACCAGUAGCUCAGGGGUAGAGCGCAGGAUUGCAGCUAAUACUGCAACCAUCCCGAGGUCAGCGGUUCGAAUCCGCUCUGGUGCU